Molecule: ribosomal RNA, 862 nt
Filed under: Helotiales sp.
Lineage: Eukaryota; Fungi; Ascomycota; Leotiomycetes; Helotiales
Description: partial large subunit ribosomal RNA
Rfam family: Eukaryotic large subunit ribosomal RNA
Source: RNAcentral
AAAAGAAACCAACAGGGAUUACCUCAGUAACGGCGAGUGAAGCGGUAACAGCUCAAAUUUGAAAUCUGGCUCUUUCAGGGUCCGAGUUGUAAUUUGUAGAAGAUGCUUCAGGUGUGGCUCCGGUCUAAGUUCCUUGGAACAGGACGUCAUAGAGGGUGAGAAUCCCGUAUGUGACUGGUUGCCUUCGCCUAUGUGAAGCUCUUUCGACGAGUCGAGUUGUUUGGGAAUGCAGCUCUAAAUGGGAGGUAAAUUUCUUCUAAAGCUAAAUAUUGGCCAGAGACCGAUAGCGCACAAGUAGAGUGAUCGAAAGAUGAAAAGCACUUUGGAAAGAGAGUUAAACAGUACGUGAAAUUGUUGAAAGGGAAGCGCUUGCAACCAGACUUGCCUGCCGUCGAUCAUCCUCCGUUCUCGGGGGUGCACUCGGCGGUGGUCAGGCCAGCAUCGGUUUCGGUGGUGGGAUAAAGACCUUGGGAAUGUAGCUCCUCUCGGGGAGUGUUAUAGCCCUCGGUGCAAUGCCGCCUACCGGGACCGAGGACCGCGCUUCGGCUAGGAUGCUGGCGUAAUGGUUGUAAGCGACCCGUCUUGAAACACGGACCAAGGAGUCUAACAUCUAUGCGAGUGUUUGGGUGUUAAACCCAUACGCGUAAUGAAAGUGAACGGAGGUGAGAACCCUUUAGGGUGCAUCAUCGACCGAUCCUGAUGUCUUCGGAUGGAUUUGAGUAAGAGCAUAGCUGUUGGGACCCGAAAGAUGGUGAACUAUGCCUAAAUAGGGUGAAGCCAGAGGAAACUCUGGUGGAGGCUCGCAGCGGUUCUGACGUGCAAAUCGAUCGUCAAAUUUGGGUAUAGGGGCGAAAGACUAAUC